Molecule: ribosomal RNA, 253 nt
Filed under: uncultured bacterium
Lineage: Bacteria
Description: partial 16S ribosomal RNA
Rfam family: Bacterial small subunit ribosomal RNA
Source: RNAcentral
UACGUAGGGAGCAAGCGUUGUCCGGAAUCAUUGGGCGUAAAGCGCGCGUAGGCGGCCUCAUAAGUCCGUUGUGAAAGUCAAAGGCUCAACCUUUGAAAGCCGAUGGAUACUGUGAGGCUAGAGUCCGGAAGAGGCGAGUGGAAUUCCUGGUGUAGCGGUGGAAUGCGCAGAUAUCAGGAGGAACACCAACGGCGAAGGCAGCUCGCUGGGACGGUACUGACACUGAGGCGCGAAAGCGUGGGGAGCGAACAGG